RNAcentral lists this ribosomal RNA (124 nucleotides) under uncultured Bacteroidota bacterium. RNAcentral describes it as "uncultured Bacteroidetes bacterium partial 16S ribosomal RNA". It matches the Rfam family "Bacterial small subunit ribosomal RNA", at positions 335 to 475 of the family's 1533-position model. The record is from RNAcentral. Lineage: Bacteria; Pseudomonadati; Bacteroidota.
ACUCCUACGGGAGGCAGCAGUUGGGAAUAUUGGACAAUGGAGGGAACUCUGAUCCAGUGACGCCGCGUGAAGGAAGAAGGUCUUCGGAUGUAAACUUAUUUAUCAGGGAAGAAGAAAAUGACAG